UGCCACUGGGGCUUGUGAGCCACCUCCUCUGGAGGAAGAGGAGCGUUGAGGCAGCAGUUCCAGAGAUGAGGAUGUCCUCUAUGCUGCAGGAGGAAAGAGAAGAGGACCACCAGCAUGUAGAAUAUGAAAAUGAUCAACAGUGACCCCACAACCCCACUGCAUGAUCCACAUCCAGCAGCAUGUCAGCUCUCUCAACUCCUUCAUCUCUGGAGACGACCAGGACUAUGACUAUGACUGCCUAAAUGAGUGGGUCCCACGCUUCAAGAAGCUGGCUGACGGCCCAGCCGUGGCUCAAUCGGCUGGGCACUGCACUGCUAUGCGGGCGACCCGGGUUUGACUCUGGCCUGAGAUCAUUUGCUGAGCCUUCCCUAUCUCUCUCCCUACUCACUUCCUGUCGCCUCUCUAACUGUCAUAACCUUUUGAGUUGUCCUGCUGACAGACAGACAAACAAACACACAAACAAACAAACAGGCAAACCAAUGUGACUGAAAACAUACCCUCCUUGGCGGAAGUUUAAAAAAUAAACUAGCUGACAUGUACGGAGGAAGAGAAGACGAGUUGUGAGUGGUCAGGAUCUUCCUCUUUGCUUACUGAUAUGCAGAUACUUGACAGCAGGCACUCAGUAUAGUAUUUGUGAUGUAGCCUACAGGCUGUGCCUUGACUGUGGUGUCAUCCAGAUUGAUGGUAACCUUGUUGAUAUACUGUAUGU
Long non-coding RNA from Engraulis encrasicolus (European anchovy), 709 nucleotides. RefSeq lists it as uncharacterized. The record is from RefSeq and is a predicted model, not a curated record. The transcript has 2 exons. NCBI's taxonomy places the organism in Eukaryota, Metazoa, Chordata, Actinopteri, Clupeiformes, Engraulidae.